Molecule: ribosomal RNA, 474 nt
Filed under: uncultured bacterium
Lineage: Bacteria
Description: SSU rRNA
Rfam family: Bacterial small subunit ribosomal RNA
Source: RNAcentral
AGGACGAACGCUGGCGGCGUGCUUAACACAUGCAAGUCGAGCGGAAAGGCCCUUCGGGGUACUCGAGCGGCGAACGGGUGAGUAACACGUGAGCAACCUGCCCUUAGCUCCGGGAUAGCUCCGGAAAACCGGAAUUAAUACCGGAUACGACCACGGCCGACAUCUGCUGUGGUGGAAAGGAUUCCGGCUAAGGAUGGGCUCGCGGCCUAUCAGCUAGUUGGUGGAGUAACGGCCCACCAAGGCGACGACGGGUAGCCGGCCUGAGAGGGCGACCGGCCACACUGGGACUGAGACACGGCCCAGACUCCUACGGGAGGCAGCAGUGGGGAAUAUUGCGCAAUGGGCGAAAGCCUGACGCAGCGACGCCGCGUGGGGGAUGAAGGCCUUCGGGUUGUAAACCCCUUUCAGCAGGGACGAAGCGAAAGUGACGGUACCUGCAGAAGAAGCGCCGGCUAACUACGCGCCAGCAGCCGC